Molecule: long non-coding RNA, 2941 nt
Organism: Gasterosteus aculeatus aculeatus (three-spined stickleback)
Lineage: Eukaryota; Metazoa; Chordata; Actinopteri; Perciformes; Gasterosteidae
Source: Ensembl
CAAGUCCCAGAACGGUACACUAUUCCCGGACAGUGAUGGCAGACCAGCAGGUGUACCGCAUGGAUGAAUAAACAGCUCCAGAGAGCGGCAGAGACCAGACCAAGUCCCAGAACGACACACUAUUCCCGGACAGUGAUGGCAGAACAGCAGGUGUACCGCAUGGAUGAAUACACAGUUCCAGAGAGCGGGAGAUCCCGGCCGAUGUCCGAUGACGAAGCACUGUAUGGGACACUUUGAAGGAAGGGUCGGUCUCCUGGAUGAAAAGAACUUUAAUUUUCUGACUUAAAAUACGGAGUUAAAGUUUCCAGUCGGGACGAUAAGGAGGGCAAAAAAACCCGGACUUUUUUGGCUCCGUCAGAAACUAAGUAAAAGUCGGAAUAUGUGAAGGAAAGCUCAGAAAAUGCCUGGAGAAAUUUGAGCGGACCGGAAAAAAAAAGUUCCAGCCGACAUCACUGGGCCACCAGGUCGCAGAUUCCUGAAACCCGGUUUUUAGAAACAUAGGCCUCCAGGAGUGAGGACCGGCGUUUGUGCGGUUCGGAUCCGACUCAGACCUCAGUAUUUUCGGACACCCUCGGACAGUGGCGGGGGUGGAAGAACCGGAGCCUCAUGCAGAACUGGCUGUCGGGGAGCAAGCGGACGCUACCCCGGCAGGAGGCAUCAUUCCGGGCACUGUGGCUGAUCGGUAGCUUUCGUGGAUGGAUGACUGAGCGAACGAACGAGAUGACGGCGGUGCGUCCUGGCUGAUGUCCCAGUACGGGGCACUAUUCUCGGAUGCUGAUGGCAGAACAGCAGGUGCAGUGGACGGAUGAACACACAGUUCCAGACAGCGUGAUAUCCCAGACCAUGUCCCAGAACGGCACACUAUUCUCGGAUGCUGAUGUCAGAACAGCAGGUGUAACGCAUGGAUGAAUACAGAGUUCCAGAGAGCGGCAGAGACCAGACCAUGUCCCUGUACGGGACACUAUUCUAGGAUGCUGAUGUCAGAACAGCAGGUGCAGCGGACGGACUAAUACACAGUUCCAGAGAGCGGUAUUUCACGACAGAUAUCCGAUGAUGAAGCGCCAUUGUCGGACACUGAUGGCAGAACAGCAGGUGCACUGGAUGAAGGAAAUAAACAGAACAUAGUUCCAGAGAGCGUGAUAUCCCAGACCAAGUCCCAGAACGGCGCGCUAUUGUCGGACACUGAUGGCAGAACAGCAGGUGCACUGGAUGAAGGAAAUAAACAGAACAUAGUUCCAGAGAGCGUGAUAUCCCAGACCAAGUCCCAGAACGGCCCACUAUUCCCGGACACUCAUCUACUUAAAAUCUCCCUGAUUACCUGCCAGAACAGAGCAGAUCCAGAGAGCGGUAUUUCACGGCAGCUAUCCGAUGAUGAAGCGCUAUUGUCGGACACUGAUGGCAGAACAGCAGGUGCACUGGAUGAAGGAAAUGAACAGAACAUAGUUCCAGAGAGCGGGAUAUGCGAGACCAUGUCCCAGUACGGGACACUAUUCUCGGAUGCUGAUGUCAGAACAGCAGGUGCAGUGGAUGAAGGAAAUAAUCAGAACAUAGUUCCAGAGAGCGGGAUAUCCCAGACCAUGUCCCAGUACGGGACACUAGUCUCGGAUGCUGAUGUCAGAACAGCAGGUGCAGUGGAUGAAGGAAAUAAUCAGAACAUAGUUCCAGAGAGCGGGAUAUCCCAGACCAUGUCCCAGUACGGGACACUAUUCUCGGAUGCUGAUGUCAGAACAGCAGGUGCAGUGGAUGGAUGAAUUAAACAGUUCCAGAGAGCGUGAGAUCCCGGCUGAUAUCCGAUGAAGAAGCACUGUUCUCGGACACUGAUGGCAGAACAGCAGGUGCAGUGGAUGGAUGAAGUAAACAGUUCCAUAGAGCAGGAGAUCCCAGACCAUGUCCCAGAACGACACACUAUUCUCGGAUGCUGAUGUCAGAACAGCAGGUGUAACGCAUGGAUGAAUACAGAGUUCCAGAGAGCGGCAGAACCCAGACCAUGUCCCAGUACGGGACACUAUUCUCGGAUGCUGAUGUCAGAACAGCAGGUGCAGUGGAUGGAUGAAAUAAACAGUUCCAUGGAGCGGUAUUUCCCGACAGAUAUCCGACGACGAAGGACCAUUUGGGACGCUUUGCAGGAAGGGUCGGUCUCCUGGAUGAAAAGGACUUUAAUUUUCUGACUUAAAAUCCGGAGUUAAAGUUUCCAGUCGGGACGAUAAGGAGGGCAAAAAAACCCGGACUUUUUUGGCUCCGUCAGAAACUAAGUAAAAGUCGGACUAUGUGAAGGAAAGCUCAGAAAAUGCCUGGAGAAUUUUGAUCGGACCGGAAAAAAAAAGUUGUAGCCGACAUCACUGGGCCACCAGGUCGCAGAUUUCAGAAACCUGGUUUUUAGAAACAUAGGCCUCCAGGAGUGAGGACCGACGUUUGUGCGUUUUGGAUCCGACUCAGACCUCAGUAUUUUCGGACGCCCUCGGACAGUGGCGAGGGUGAACGAACCGGAGCCUCGUUCCGGGCACUGUGGCUGGUCGGUGGGUUUCGCGGCUGGAUCGCUGAGCGAGAGAGAUGGCGGCGGGGCGGCCCGCCUCCGGUGCGCCCUGGCUUCGGCCGGGGCGCGCCGGUGGGUGAAACACUUUGAUCGAACGAGAUUGCUUGAGCGGAGGCGGGGCGGCCCGCCUCCGGUGCGCGCGCCCGCCGGCGGUGCGCCGUCCCCGGGCGCUUUGGCUUCGGCCGGGGCGCGCCGGUGGAGGAAAUGCUUUACGUGAAAAUUCUGACCGAUUUGCAACCGUGACCCGCCACCCGGGGGCCCCCGCCAGAUGGGCGGAGGGUUCCCCGGAACGCGGGUCUGCCUCUAUGCCCGGGUGGGUUGGUGCGCGCGCUGGGUUCGGCCCCCGAUGGCCCUGCGCUUCUCCCCGGGCGCCCGAUUUGUAGCGAGUCCGAGACGGCCCGUCUGCCC